GGUUAUGUUGGAUCCNUGNUCGGGCAGCGACGGCAACUCCUCCACGCCUCUUCAAUUAUUGGNGCGAGCACAUGCUCGUCCGAUGUUGGUUUUCCUGUGCUGNAUACCUAUCGCGAGGGCAUUCCGUCGGCUACAAUCGUCCCCCUCCCGCCUCGUUCCGCUGCUCCCCGUGGGCAAGCGGUGCGGUGUGGGCCUAAUAGCGCACGUCGUGUGUCGCAUCCCGUCCGCUAGCGCGCUCGGUCUGACGACCCACGUCGUGGUGCUCGAUCUCUCGGGUAUGGAACAUCAUGUGGCUGAGGGGUCAUCGGCCCCCUAGCACCACAAACAAGCGUUCUACGCUUCGUGCGAACGACCGUCGGCUCGGUCUCCGGCCGUGCCCUCGUGGCUCGGUUCGGUGUCGGUCCGACGUCGGUGAGGAAUGCUACCUGGUUGAUCCCUGCA
This 441-nucleotide unclassified non-coding RNA is filed under the name Lycopus uniflorus. RNAcentral describes it as "partial miscellaneous RNA". Lineage: Eukaryota; Viridiplantae; Streptophyta; Magnoliopsida; Lamiales; Lamiaceae. The record is from RNAcentral.